Amphiprion ocellaris (clown anemonefish) is the source of this 796-nucleotide long non-coding RNA. RefSeq lists it as uncharacterized. The transcript has 2 exons. The record is from RefSeq and is a predicted model, not a curated record. Lineage: Eukaryota; Metazoa; Chordata; Actinopteri; Pomacentridae.
UCCAAAUGCACCACGGAUCACCUCAUGAGGCUACAGCUGCAGACGCACUACUGGACUUAACAGGAACAAAGACACAAAGGUGUGAGAGGGAAGGAGAGAAUAAAAGAGAGUAGCUGUGGGAGGAAAAGCUGAAGACGAUCUGCUGGACAAGAAUGAAUGAAUCUGGAAAGACUUUAGAGACUUGAGGUCAUCCGUCCACCAGUUUGUAUUAACAACCUCUGCAUCUGCAUAUCUUCAGCAAACCUUGUCCUCCAGAGCUGUGGAGUGUGACAAUGGUGUUUGUUUCCUGUGUAUCAAACGCCAUUAUCACACUAAAUAGCUACAGUGUGAAAACUGCCUCAGUGUAUUCCUCCGUUUGCUGUUUGUUUCUUGUCAUUUCCUUGUAUUAUAGCUGCUUGUAAUCUUUAUCUUCCCUCAUUCAGACUGUAAAGCGUGAACAUAUGUCUCCAUGUGUCAAAGGGUGGUGAUAGUAGGAGACAUGUUACACCACCGCAGGACAGACAGAAGAUGGAAAUAGACAGACUGUGUGUUGAUAUGUCGUAUGUGAUGUUUAGGCUCCAAGUGUGACCCACUUAGUUUUGCAUUUGAGGUGCUAAUUCGCUGCUGGAGACUUUCACCUUUAAGUGCAGACAAAAAUAGUCAGCCCAUUUGUUUUCCAUGCUGCUGCCAUGUCUUGAGAAUGUUUUCAACAUGUAAACAGGUCAUCUAAUUUAAACCCUUGUACUGCUGUGUUUUAAGAUUCCACAAUUGUCUUUAUGCACACUGUAAAUAAAGUGUUUAUUGCUUCUUGUCGCUA